RNAcentral lists this ribosomal RNA (497 nucleotides) under uncultured bacterium. RNAcentral's name for it is "partial 16S ribosomal RNA". It matches the Rfam family "Bacterial small subunit ribosomal RNA", at positions 28 to 507 of the family's 1533-position model. The record is from RNAcentral.
GAUGAACGCUGGCGGCGUGCCUAAUACAUGCAAGUCGAGCGAACAGACGAGGAGCUUGCUCCCCUGACGUUAGCGGCGGACGGGUGAGUAACACGUGGAUAACCUACCUAUAAGACUGGGAUAACUUCGGGAAACCGGAGCUAAUACCGGAAAAUAUAUUGAACCGCAUGGUUCAAUAGUGAAAGACGGUUUUGCUGUCACUUAUAGAUGGAUCCGCGCCGCAUUAGCUAGUUGGUAAGGUAACGGCUUACCAAGGCAACGAUGCGUAGCCGACCUGAGAGGGUGAUCGGCCACACUGGAACUGAGACACGGUCCAGACUCCUACGGGAGGCAGCAGUAGGGAAUCUUCCGCAAUGGGCGAAAGCUUGACGGAGCAACGCCGCGUGAGUGAUGAAGGUCUUCGGAUCGUAAAACUCUGUUAUUAGGGAAGAACAAAUGUGUAAGUAACUAUGCACGUCUUGACGGUACCUAAUCAGAAAGCCACGGCUAACUACGUG